This 925-nucleotide ribosomal RNA is filed under the name Halomonas eurihalina. RNAcentral's name for it is "bacterial SSU rRNA". It matches the Rfam family "Bacterial small subunit ribosomal RNA", at positions 56 to 971 of the family's 1533-position model. Lineage: Bacteria; Pseudomonadati; Pseudomonadota; Gammaproteobacteria; Oceanospirillales; Halomonadaceae. The record is from RNAcentral.
UGCAAGUCGAGCGGAAACGAUCCUAGCUUGCUAGGAGGCGUCGAGCGGCGGACGGGUGAGUAAUGCAUAGGAAUCUGCCCGGUAGUGGGGGAUAACUUGAGGAAACUCAAGCUAAUACCGCAUACGCCCUACGGGGGAAAGCAGGGGCUCUUCGGACCUUGCGCUAUUGGAUGAGCUUAUGUCGGAUUAGCUAGUUGGUGAGGUAAUGGCUCACCAAGGCGACGAUCCGUAGCUGGUCUGAGAGGAUGAUCAGCCACAUCGGGACUGAGACACGGCCCGAACUCCUACGGGAGGCAGCAGUGGGGAAUAUUGGACAAUGGGGGCAACCCUGAUCCAGCCAUGCCGCGUGUGUGAAGAAGGCCCUCGGGUUGUAAAGCACUUUCAGUGAGGAAGAACGCCUGUCGGUUAAUACCCGGCAGGGGAGACAUCACUCACAGAAGAAGCACCGGCUAACUCCGUGCCAGCAGCCGCGGUAAUACGGAGGGUGCGAGCGUUAAUCGGAAUUACUGGGCGUAAAGCGUGCGUAGGCGGCUUGGUAAGCCGGUUGUGAAAGCCCCGGGCUCAACCUGGGAAUGGCAUCCGGAACUGUCAGGCUAGAGUGCAGGAGAGGAAGGUAGAAUUCCCGGUGUAGCGGUGAAAUGCGUAGAGAUCGGGAGGAAUACCAGUGGCGAAGGCGGCCUUCUGGACUGACACUGACGCUGAGGUACGAAAGCGUGGGUAGCAAACAGGAUUAGAUACCCUGGUAGUCCACGCCGUAAACGAUGUCGACUAGCCGUUGGGGUCCUCGAGACCUUUGUGGCGCAGUUAACGCACUAAGUCGACCGCCUGGGGAGUACGGCCGCAAGGUUAAAACUCAAAUGAAUUGACGGGGGCCCGCACAAGCGGUGGAGCAUGUGGUUUAAUUUCGAUGCAACGCGAAGAACCU